Carya illinoinensis is the source of this 517-nucleotide long non-coding RNA. RefSeq lists it as uncharacterized. The transcript has 2 exons. The record is from RefSeq and is a predicted model, not a curated record. Lineage: Eukaryota; Viridiplantae; Streptophyta; Magnoliopsida; Fagales; Juglandaceae.
GUUGCUAGCUCUUCAUCACCUCGACAUACAAUCAAGAUAGAUAAAAUGAGUUCUUCCGGCCCGCAGGGGCCAACUCCUUUUGCCGGACGCGUCGGCCCAGCCUUAAAAGGUGCGAUGGCCAGACAUCCAGGUCCAUGGGAAUCACCUCAACAACCUACAACUGCGGAUGCUUCAAACCGCAGCCAAGAAAGUACUGGCUGCGUCGAGGACUGGUUGGAUAUUUUCUGCUGCUGCUGCCUCUUCAAAGCCUGCUUCUGAUUGAUGAUCAGAACCAUAUUGCGGUGUAUGAACUGAAGGGCGCUUAUUUUAUAUUUGCCACGAAGAGAUUUCAGAAUUUCCUAUCUCUUUCAAUUGUCUGCGUUUUGGUGGUAAAUAAUAUAUGUGGACUGAUUUGUUUAUGUUCGUUUAAUAUAUAGGAAGCUGCUUCGAUGUCGCCUGUACGUAUACGUGAUCAUGAGUUUCAUUUGAAUUCAAUAUGUCAAUUGCGAAUACUUCAAAAGUAAAUCUGUCAACUUAA